GAUGAACGCUGGCGGCAUGCUUAACACAUGCGAGUCGGACGGGAAGUGGUGUUUCCCGUGGCGGACGGGUGAGUAACGCGUAAGAACCUGCCCUGGGGAGGGGAACAACAACUGGAAACGGUUGCUAAUACCCCGUAGGCUGAGGAGCAAAAGGAGGAAUCCGCCCGAGGAGGGGCUUGCGUCUGAUUAGCUAGUUGGUGAGGUAAUAGCUUACCAAGGCGAUGAUCAGUAGCUGGUCCGAGAGGAUGAUCAGCCACACUGGGACUGAGACACGGCCCAGGCUCCUUCGGGCGGCAGCCGUGGGGAAUUUUCCGCAAUGGGCGAAAGCCUGACGGAGCAUUGCCGCGGGGAGGUAGAAGGCCCACGGGUCGUGAACUUCUUUUCUUGGAGAAGACACAAUGACGGUACCUGAUGAAUAAGCAUCGGCUAACUCUGUG
RNAcentral lists this ribosomal RNA (437 nucleotides) under uncultured bacterium. RNAcentral's name for it is "partial 16S ribosomal RNA". It matches the Rfam family "Bacterial small subunit ribosomal RNA", at positions 28 to 507 of the family's 1533-position model. The record is from RNAcentral.